UUUAAAGUCUAAUCUGCCCUAUGAAGUAUUAAAUGGCCGCGGUACUUUGACCGUGCAAAGGUAGCAUAAUAAUUAGUUUUUUAAUUGAAAGCUGGAAUGAAUGAUUGGACGAGAAAAUAGCUGUCUCAGUUUAAUUUUAUUAGAAUUUUAUAUUUAAGUAAGAAAGCUUAAAUUUAAUUAAAAGACGAGAAGACCCUAUAGAGUUUUAUAGUUAAUUGAUUAUUAGUUUUUUAGUAUUAUUUUAUUUGUAGUUAGUUACUUAUUUUAUUGGGGCGAUAGAAAAAUUAGAAUAACUUUUUUUAAAGAUAUUACAUUAAUUUAUGAUUUUUUGAUCCAUUUUUUUAUGAUUAUAAGAUUAAGUUACCUUAGGGAUAACAGCGUAAUUUUUUUUUAGAGUUCUUAUCGAAAAAAUAGGUUGCGACCUCGAUGUUGGAUUAAAAUUAAUGUUUGGUGCAGAAGCUAAAUAAUUAGGUCUGUUCGACCUAUAGAAUUUUACAUGAUCUGAGUUUAAACCGGCGUGAGCCAGGUUGGUUUCUAUCUUUAAUAUAAUAAAGUAUUUUAGUACGAAAGGACCAAAUAUUUGUAAAAAUUAUUUUAUUUUGAAUUAUAUUAG
RNAcentral lists this ribosomal RNA (613 nucleotides) under Maladera significans. RNAcentral's name for it is "partial 16S large subunit ribosomal RNA". It matches the Rfam family "Bacterial large subunit ribosomal RNA", at positions 1844 to 2732 of the family's 2925-position model. The record is from RNAcentral. Lineage: Eukaryota; Metazoa; Arthropoda; Insecta; Coleoptera; Scarabaeidae.